CCUACGGGGGGCAGCAGUGAGGAAUAUUGGUCAAUGGGCGCGAGCCUGAACCAGCCAAGUAGCGUGAAGGAUGACUGCCCUACGGGUUGUAAACUUCUUUUAUAAGGGAAUAAAGUGAGGCACGUGUGCCUUUUUGUAUGUCCUUUAUGAAUAAGGCUCGGCUAACUCCGUGCCAGCAGCCGCGGUAAUACGGAGGAUGCGAGCGUUAUCCGGAUUUAUUGGGUUUAAAGGGAGCGUAGAUGGGUUGUUAAGUCAGUUGUGAAAGUUUGCGGCUCAACCGUAAAAUUGCAAUUGAUACUGGCAGUCUUGAGUACAGUUGAGGUAGGCGGAAUUCGUGGUGUAGCGGUGAAAUGCUUAGAUAUCACGAAGAACCCCGAUGGCGAAGGCAGCUUACUAAACUGUGACUGACAUUGAUGCUCGAAAGUGUGGGUAGCAAACAGGAUUAGAUACCCUUGUAGUC
This 460-nucleotide ribosomal RNA is filed under the name uncultured bacterium. RNAcentral's name for it is "partial 16S ribosomal RNA". It matches the Rfam family "Bacterial small subunit ribosomal RNA", at positions 338 to 795 of the family's 1533-position model. The record is from RNAcentral.